GGGCCCGCACAAGCGGUGGAGCAUGUGGUUUAAUUCGAUGAUACGCGAGGAACCUUACCAGGGCUUAAAUGUAGUGGGACAGGUCUAGAGAUAGACCUUUCUUCGGACUCAUUACAAGGUGCUGCAUGGUUGUCGUCAGCUCGUGCCGUGAGGUGUCAGGUUAAGUCCUAUAACGAGCGCAACCCUAUCGUUAGUUGCCAGCGGGUCAUGCCGGGAACUCUAGCGAAACUGCCGGUGCAAACCGAGAGGAAGGUGGGGAUGACGUCAAAUCAUCACGGCCCUUACGUCCUGGCCACACACGUGCUACAAUGGCCGGUACAGAGAGCAGCCACUACGCGAGUAGGAG
RNAcentral lists this ribosomal RNA (346 nucleotides) under uncultured bacterium. Its description in RNAcentral is "bacterial SSU rRNA". It matches the Rfam family "Bacterial small subunit ribosomal RNA", at positions 917 to 1267 of the family's 1533-position model. The record is from RNAcentral.